AUGAAAACUGAAAGUGUUGAGCUGCCAGCUCUGGGGAAGGGAGAAGCAGCAGGACCAUCCUUUGCAAGGUCGGUGACACAAGAGAUGCCAUCUGUAGGUAGCCACUCAAGACAAUCAGAUUUUUUAGCAAACUUUGUGGACAAAAUGUCAAAGGAAGAUCAGGAAAGAGCAGACGAGACGUUAGCUCGAGCUAUAUUUGCAAGUAGCACGUCUCUUUCCAUAGUUGAAAAUCAAUACUGGAAGGAUCUUUACAAGCUGAUUCGCCCAUCAUAUAAAUUGCCAUCCCAUUAUCGCUUAGCACAUCCUCUUUUAGACAGAGAGUACAACAGAGUUCAAACAAUGGUAGCUCAAAGGAUCAGCCGAGCAGAAUCGCUGACACUCAUGCCAAAGAGAUGGACUGAUACACAAGGAAAUUCUCUUCUCAGCAUUAUGUUUGCAACACCUGAAGCAAUAUUCCUCAAAGCAAUUGCUACCAAACCUUCUCAUCAUACUGGUGAAUACAUAACCAACAUACUGGGUGAAGAGAUUGAGAGUGCAGGUCCACCCAGGGUACAAGCCCUUGUAACCGACAAUACGAGUAGCAUGAGAGGCGCAGGGGAAAUAUUAAAGUCAACGUACCCACACUUAAUAGUAUUUGUCUGUUCUGCUCACGGGUUGAACCUUCUGGCAAAAGAUAUCUUAAGUGCCAGUACGAUGAAAACAAUAUUGGCAGCCGGCAAAGCAAUUGUGAAGGUAUUCAACAAUCACCCAAUAGCUAAUCAGGCACUGAAGAAAUUACAGAAAGAGAAGCAGGGGGAGGGAAAUGCCCUUUUAUUGCCAUCAGAAACUAGAUGGAGCUCAGCUAUCAAGUGUUUAGAGAGCCUGUUGCAUACAAUGAACUGUUUGCAGCACGCUUCAACAGAAGAAACGCUAUCCCAGAUUAUUCCUCAGAACAUUCGUAAGCAGAUUCUUGAUGACGUGUUUUGGGUUAAAGUUCAAGAUGCAUACAAUUUGCUACUACCAAUUUCAGAGGCUACUAAGAAGCUUGAAGAUGCACCAAUCCUUUCAUAUAUUCCAGAGAUGUUCAGAAAGCUGAAUGAAAAUCUAAUUCAGCUUUUGCCUUCUUCGCCUCUCUCUAAAGAAGAGGCGGAAGUAAUAAAGCAAGGAUUUACUAAAGUAUCUGAGAUAUGCUCCCAUCCAGUUCAUCUGGCAGCAAAUCUACUGGACCCCCAGCACUGUGGACAACAUUUAUCAGAAUCUGAUAUAGCCACUGCUCUUGAUAUAAUUAUGGAACUAGCUAAGAACAUCCCUAACAUUAAUGAAAGAGCUGUGAUGGCAGACAUUGCUGAAUAUCGUGCGAAAGAGAAACUUUGGAGCCAAGACAUUGUUUGGCGGGCAUCUGAGGCUGUUUCUCCCCUCACAUGGUGGAAGGGAUAUUGUAACACCCGGCAAUUGUCCAGGAUUGCUGUAAGGAUCUUCAGCAUUCCACCAACAGCCACUUCCUGUGAACGGAAAUGGAGAACUUUUGACGCAAUCAAGACAAAGAAGAGGAACAGACUGACAAAUGAACGCACUGCUAAGCUUGUUUCUGUUUCUCUCUUGCUGCAGCAGGAGAACCAGUUACAAGCGCAACUAGUGAACAGGAUGAAGUGUGAUAAAUUGCCUAUAGACUCGUUGCAGAUGAAAUCAUUGUUCAGUGAAAGAGAACGUGGCUCAACAAGUUCUGAGUCAGAUUCACCUCCAUUUGGAGUGGAAUUCACAAGAAGUGAGAGUGCCUCUACAGACAGUGAAACUGAAGGAUCCCCUCAAUGA
Molecule: long non-coding RNA, 1791 nt
Filed under: Podarcis muralis (Common wall lizard)
Lineage: Eukaryota; Metazoa; Chordata; Lepidosauria; Squamata; Lacertidae
Description: lncRNA (ENSPMRG00000003476.1)
Source: RNAcentral